Molecule: RNA transcript, 2920 nt
Organism: Neofelis nebulosa (Clouded leopard)
Lineage: Eukaryota; Metazoa; Chordata; Mammalia; Carnivora; Felidae
Gene: IFI35
Gene name: interferon induced protein 35
Exons: 8
Source: RefSeq, a predicted model, not a curated record
GUGUGAACACCGAAGGGCAGGGAUUUUGGUGAAAUGAAAGUGGAAGCAAAGAGCCUGCCGGUUCUACAUCAGAAGUGUAUUUCAGGUCCGGCUUAGAGGAGACUAAAGCCCAUCAGAAGGUACAAGCAAGAGUUCUGUCGCUGUGGACACUGCCACUUUGUGCCUGGCUCCGAACCCACAACUCUUGCCAGCCGGACCCCAGGCCCAUGUCAGUGACCCAUGAUGCCGCUCUCCAUGCCCUUCGGGAGGAGCAGGCCAGACUAAAGAGGAGGCUGCAGCGGCUGCAGCAGCGGAGGAGGGAAUUCGGGGACUUCCCUCACCACGACCAGGUCCCAUUCCCGGUGCCCUUGGUCCCCCUGGUGUUCCGAGGACACACUCAGCAGGGCACAGAAGGGUCCAAGCCUUUGGUUUCCAAACUACGGAUCUGCUACCCUCUGCCUGGAGGCUCUGCUCUGGUCACCUUCGACGAUCCCAAGGUGGCCAAGAGGGUGCUGCAACAAAAGGAGCACAAGAUCGACAUCGAUGAGUGCCGGCUGCGGGUGCAAGUCCAGUCCUUGGAGCUGCCCGUGGUGACCACCAUCCAGGUGUCCACACAGAUAAGCAGGAGGAGUGUGCUGGUCAGUGGGUUUCCUGCAGGGCUCAGGCUGAGUGAGGAGGAGCUGCUGGACAAGCUGGAGAUCUUCUUUGGCAAGUCCAGGAAUGGGGGUGGCGAUGUGGAGAGUCGGAAGCUGCUGCAAAGUGGUGUCGUGCUGAGUUUCACUAAGGAUGCAGUGGCCCAGCACCUGUGCCAGGCUGGCCAGUUUACAGUGCCACUGGGCACGAAAAGCUUCCCUUUGAGAAUCUCUCCCUUCCUAAGUGGGGAGAUCCAGAAGGCUGAGGAAACUUGAUGUGAGCACAGAAGGAGGAACCCUCACCUUCCAGGAGCCCACCUUCCCCUCCACUCUCGGAGGCAACAUCCAGGACCCAGGGUUUGGCUUUUUAUUGACACAAACACAAAGGCAGCUUCGGUAACAGUAACGGGGUGGGGUACACAAAAGCAGAAAUCGCCCUUCACACAUUUAGGCCUCAUUUAGACACUGAAGAGGCUGAGCCCCUCCCCCCACCUCCCAUUGGCAAUAGCUGGGCAGUAACCCUCCCUAAUUCUGUAUCAGAGAGCAGAGGGAGUUGUACCCCUGCGCCAGGAAGUCCCCACUUUGGUUCCGGUGGCCCAGGUUCUAACCACCCCCCUCCUUAUUCCCCUGUUCCAUCUCCCCACCCAUGUAAACAAAGUUUGGGGCUGAGUUUGAAAAGCUGCCCUCCUGCUCUGAGAAGGCAGUGGGCCUCCCUUGACUACACAAGAAAUGUGCUUCGAUUUUUACUUUGGUCCCAGAACAAGAAACAGAUGGCAUUGCCUCUCAGAGCUCUGGCUGGUAAAUGCCACACUUAUCUGCAAGGCUGAGAACGCCACCCUGCCUUUUUCUCCUCAACCACCCAGAGAGAAAUGACAGCCCCAGAGACGGGACACGGCACAGACCCCAGGAGGCUAGGGGCUGCCCCCCGCCUCCCCUGGCACACACACAGAUUUUUGGCAGUGUUGUGGGACAGCAAAAGCCCACCUCCACCAGAACGAGGAAGGCACUGGGGAGUUCAGGGGUGGAGGAGGAGGUGUGAGACAGGGACCCCCCACCCACCCACACACGCAAGCACAGGUUUUCCGUUGCUAAGGCACUGAGAACAAAUCCACUAGAACUCAGUGAAGGAUGGGGCGGAGGGGGGGGCUCUGUGUCCCUCCCACAGAGUCGUGACCUAGGGAAGCAGGUCAGAUUCCCACCCUUGUUGUAAGAGGCAACCUUGGUUAAGAGUGGCAGAAAACCUGCAGGUGGAAGAAACCCAGCUGUGCUCAAGGAGACGGGGACCAGAGGACAAGGCCAUGCAACGAGGCAACAGAGUUCAGAGGUGGGCGCCAGUUGGCCUGGGCUGAAGGGACAGGAGGGCGAGACAGGGACAUGCUGGAUUCACACAAAUUGGCCCCAUAUCCUGAGCUGACAUUUCGAUUCUUUGGGGAGGGGAGUGUGGGGCAGGGGCAGGAGGGGAGAUGAGGCAGAGGUGGAAGCACACAGAACUGGACGGAAAAGGACUGGCUAACCUUGGCACAAAAGCAGCACAGCAGGCCCAGGGAAAGGGUGGGGGCAGGAAGCAGCCGGCCUCCCUCUGACCCUCCCUGUCCCCUUGGCAGGGCCCAGACAUCCAAGUGGUCACUUCCCAACCUCUUCGGAGGGCAGGAAGGGGGGAGGGGGCCCUGCCUAAGGAGAAAGAACAGGGCAGGGGAGAGGUCAUCACCACGGGGACCUUUGGGGGCAAGUGGGCAGAGCAUUAUGAGGAGGAUGAAAUGUAAGAGAGUCUGGUGACCAACACAACGUGGCUCCCUAGCUUCUCUCUUCCCAGGUCCCGAGGGUCUGCCAGCCCCGGCCCUAGUUCUCCUUCUCUGGUCCAGGCACCAGGAGGACUUUGCCCACAUUCUUCUUCUCCUGCAUCUGCCUCAUGGCAUCCGCCACCUGGAGAGGAAGACAAGACCCGGUGCCAUCCGGCCCCUCUAGAGAGCCAGCCUAAAGGGGUAGCCCAAGUGGAAGCCACACACAGCGCGGUUGGUUGGCAGCAGCUGCAGCGCAGUCACACUGAACUGGUUCCACCAUGUGCGCGCCAGGGCCAUCAGGUUCCGCUUGGGGCCCGUCAGCAGGUUGGCCAUUCCUGAGGGAUGAGGAGACGCGGCCCGUGAAUCCAGGUGCUGGGCACAUCCCUGUCCAAAUCCAUGCUCAUCCACCCCCUCUGGGCCUCUUACAAUCAUCCACAGCAGUGCCAGGGAGUGACAGGAUAUUCCCCCACCUGCUGGCUGCCAGGCCCAAAUGGACUCCAGCUGACUCAAAAAUUGCCUGAAUCUUUA